This 460-nucleotide ribosomal RNA is filed under the name uncultured bacterium. RNAcentral's name for it is "partial 16S ribosomal RNA". It matches the Rfam family "Bacterial small subunit ribosomal RNA", at positions 338 to 795 of the family's 1533-position model. The record is from RNAcentral.
CCUACGGGAGGCAGCAGUGAGGAAUAUUGGUCAAUGGACGAAAGUCUGAACCAGCCACGCAGCGUGCAGGAUGACUGCCCUCUGAGUUGUACACUGCUUUUAUAUGGGAGUACACUGUUACACGUGUAUGAUUUUGUAUGUACCGUACGAAUAAGGAUCGGCUAACUCCGUGCCAGCAGCCGCGGUAAUACGUAGGAUCCGAGCGUUAUCCGGAUUUAUUGGGGUUAAAGGGAGCGUAGGUGGGUUGUUGAGUCAGUUGUGAAAGGUCGGGGCUCAACCGGAAAAUUGCAUUUGAUACUGGUAGGCUAGAGUAUAGUAGAGGGGGGCGGAAUGCGUGGUGUAGCGGUGAAAUGCUUAGAGAUCAGGAAGAACACCGAUGGCGAAGGCAGCUCACUGGACUAAAACUGACGCUGAGGCGCGAAAGUGUGGGUAGCAAACAGGAUUAGAUACCCUGGUAGUC